AGAGUUUGAUCCUGGCUCAGGACGAACGCUGGCGGCGUGCUUGACACAUGCAAGUCGAACGGUAAGGCCCUUCGGGGUACACGAGUGGCGAACGGGUGAGUAACACGUGGGUAAUCCGCCCUGCACAUCGGGAUAAGCCUGGGAAACUGGGUCUAAUACCGAAUAGGACCACAGGACACAUGUCCUGUGGUGGAAAGCUUUUGCGGUGUGGGAUGGGCCCGCGGCCUAUCAGCUUGUUGGUGGGGUGAUGGCCUACCAAGGCGACGACGGGUAGCCGGCCUGAGAGGGUGUCCGGCCACACUGGGACUGAGAUACGGCCCAGACUCCUACGGGAGGCAGCAGUGGGGAAUAUUGCACAAUGGGCGAAAGCCUGAUGCAGCGACGCCGCGUGGGGGAUGACGGCCUUCGGGUUGUAAACCUCUUUCACCAUCGACGAAGGUCCGGGUUUUCUCGGGCUGACGGUAGGUGGAGAAGAAGCACCGGCCAACUACGUGCCAGCAGCCGCGGUAAUACGUAGGGUGCGAGCGUUGUCCGGAAUUACUGGGCGUAAAGAGCUCGUAGGUGGUUUGUCGCGUUGUUCGUGAAAUCUCACGGCUUAACUGUGAGCGUGCGGGCGAUACGGGCAGACUUGAGUACUGCAGGGGAGACUGGAAUUCCUGGUGUAGCGGUGGAAUGCGCAGAUAUCAGGAGGAACACCGGUGGCGAAGGCGGGUCUCUGGGCAGUAACUGACGCUGAGGAGCGAAAGCGUGGGGAGCGAACAGGAUUAGAUACCCUGGUAGUCCAA
Molecule: ribosomal RNA, 785 nt
Filed under: uncultured bacterium
Lineage: Bacteria
Description: bacterial SSU rRNA
Rfam family: Bacterial small subunit ribosomal RNA
Source: RNAcentral